RNAcentral lists this ribosomal RNA (732 nucleotides) under uncultured bacterium. Its description in RNAcentral is "bacterial SSU rRNA". It matches the Rfam family "Bacterial small subunit ribosomal RNA", at positions 771 to 1501 of the family's 1533-position model. The record is from RNAcentral.
AACAGGAUUAGAUACCCUGGUAGUCCACGCCGUAAACGAUGAGUGCUAAGUGUUAGAGGGUUUCCGCCCUUUAGUGCUGCAGCUAACGCAUUAAGCACUCCGCCUGGGGAGUACGGUCGCAAGACUGAAACUCAAAGGAAUUGACGGGGGCCCGCACAAGCGGUGGAGCAUGUGGUUUAAUUCGAAGCAACGCGAAGAACCUUACCAGGUCUUGACAUCCUCUGACAACUCUAGAGAUAGAGCGUUCCCCUUCGGGGGACAGAGUGACAGGUGGUGCAUGGUUGUCGUCAGCUCGUGUCGUGAGAUGUUGGGUUAAGUCCCGCAACGAGCGCAACCCUUGAUCUUAGUUGCCAGCAUUUAGUUGGGCACUCUAAGGUGACUGCCGGUGACAAACCGGAGGAAGGUGGGGAUGACGUCAAAUCAUCAUGCCCCUUAUGACCUGGGCUACACACGUGCUACAAUGGAUGGUACAAAGGGCUGCAAGACCGCGAGGUCAAGCCAAUCCCAUAAAACCAUUCUCAGUUCGGAUUGUAGGCUGCAACUCGCCUACAUGAAGCUGGAAUCGCUAGUAAUCGCGCAUCACCAUGCCGCGGUGAAUACGUUCCCGGGCCUUGUACACACCGCCCGUCACACCACGAGAGUUUGUAACACCCGAAGUCGGUGGAGUAACCGUAAGGAGCUAGCCGCCUAAGGUGGGACAGAUGAUUGGGGUGAAGUCGUAACAAGGUAGCC